RNAcentral lists this ribosomal RNA (688 nucleotides) under Caloosia longicaudata. Its description in RNAcentral is "eukaryotic LSU rRNA". It matches the Rfam family "Eukaryotic large subunit ribosomal RNA", at positions 367 to 906 of the family's 3401-position model. The record is from RNAcentral. Lineage: Eukaryota; Metazoa; Nematoda; Chromadorea; Rhabditida; Hemicycliophoridae.
CAAAGCACUUUGAAGAGAGAGUUAAAGAGGACGUGAAACCGGUAGGAUGGAAACGGAUAGAGCCAGCGAAGUCGCUUGUAUUCAACCAGAGGCUCGGGGCUGCCUGGUGUUGUGUUUCUAAUCGAGCACAGCGCUUGGUCUGCUCCAAGCUGAGGUGCAUUUGCAGGCGUUUGCGCUGAGACUUGUGGUUCAGCUUCUGGGCCUGCGCUUAGAGGCCUCCCUCUGGGAGGAACCUGGGCGUGGUGACAGUUGUUUGGACUGCUCGUAGUGGUCUGGCCUACGGACCCGGGCUGCGCCGUCGUUGACAGGCACUGGCAUCGCAUGCGAUGUCACGUCUGAAGGCGGCGGUUCGGUUCGGCGUUCCCGGACCGUCUCUCGGUGUAGAAGCUGGUCAUCUCUCCGACCCGCCUUGAAACACGGACCAAGGAGUUUAGCGUAUGCGCGAGUCAUUGGGUGCUGAAAACCCACAGGCGCAAUGAAAGUGAAGGCUCGGUCGCCGGGCUGACAUGCGAGUGUGCGAGCCUCGGCUCGUGCAUGCAGCAUGGUCCCGUUGCAGUCGCUUGCGACGCGGCGGAGACAGAGCGUAUGCGCUGAGACCCGAAAGAUGGUGAACUAUUCCUGAGCAGGACGAAGCCAGAGGAAACUCUGGUGGAAGUCCGAAGCGAUUCUGACGUGCAAAUCGAUCGUC